This 500-nucleotide ribosomal RNA is filed under the name uncultured bacterium. RNAcentral describes it as "partial 16S ribosomal RNA". It matches the Rfam family "Bacterial small subunit ribosomal RNA", at positions 30 to 523 of the family's 1533-position model. The record is from RNAcentral.
AUUGAACGCUGGCGGAAUGCUUUACACAUGCAAGUCGAACGGCAGCACGGACUUCGGUCUGGUGGCGAGUGGCGAACGGGUGAGUAAUGUGUCGGAACGUGCCCAGUCGUGGGGGAUAACGUAGUGAAAAUUACGCUAAUACCGCAUACGAUCUAUGGAUGAAAGCGGGGGAUCGCAAGACCUCGCGCGAUUGGAGCGGCCGAUAUCAGAUUAGGUAGUUGGUGGGGUAAAGGCCCACCAAGCCAACGAUCUGUAGCUGGUCUGAGAGGACGACCAGACACACUGGAACUGAGACACGGUCCAGACUCCUACGGGAGGCAGCAGUGGGGAAUUUUGGACAAUGGGCGAAAGCCUGAUCCAGCCAUUCCGCGUGCAGGAUGAAGGCCCUCGGGUUGUAAACUGCUUUUGUACAGAACGAAAAGGUUUCUACUAAUACUAGGAGCUCAUGACGGUACUGUAAGAAUAAGCACCGGCUAACUACGUGCCAGCAGCCGCGGUAA